Molecule: ribosomal RNA, 448 nt
Filed under: uncultured bacterium
Lineage: Bacteria
Description: bacterial SSU rRNA
Rfam family: Bacterial small subunit ribosomal RNA
Source: RNAcentral
UGGGGAAUAUUGGACAAUGGGGGCAACCCUGAUCCAGCCAUGCCGCGUGUGUGAAGAAGGCCUUUUGGUUGUAAAGCACUUUAAGCAGUGAAGAAGACCUAACGGUUAAUACCCGUUAGCGAUGACAUUAGCUGCAGAAUAAGCACCGGCUAACUCUGUGCCAGCAGCCGCGGUAAUACAGAGGGUGCAAGCGUUAAUCGGAAUUACUGGGCGUAAAGCGAGCGUAGGUGGCUUGAUAAGUCAGAUGUGAAAUCCCCGGGCUUAACCUGGGAACUGCAUCUGAUACUGUCAGGCUAGAGUAGGUGAGAGGGAGGUAGAAUUUCAGGUGUAGCGGUGAAAUGCGUAGAGACUACGUAGCAAGGAAUUGACCGAAUGGCGCAAGGCAGCUCCUGGCAUCAUACUGACACUGAGGUUCGAAAGCGUGGGUAGCAAACAGGAUUAGAUACCC